This 279-nucleotide ribosomal RNA is filed under the name uncultured bacterium. Its description in RNAcentral is "partial 16S ribosomal RNA". It matches the Rfam family "Bacterial small subunit ribosomal RNA", at positions 506 to 784 of the family's 1533-position model. The record is from RNAcentral.
UGCCAGCAGCCGCGGUAAUACGUAGGGUGCAAGCGUUAAUCGGAAUUACUGGGCGUAAAGCGUGCGCAGGCGGUUUGCUAAGACAGGUGUGAAAUCCCCAGGCUCAACCUGGGAACUGCAUCUGUGACUAGCAGACUAGAGUUCGGCAGAGGGGGGUGGAAUUCCUGGUGUAGCAGUGAAAUGCGUAGAUAUCAGGAGGAACACCGAUGGCGAAGGCAGCCCCCUGGGCCACCACUGACGCUCAUGCACGAAAGCGUGGGGAGCAAACAGGAUUAGAUA